GGGGCCUGACAACCGACCCCUCCCGAAUAAGUAGAUCACCGCUACGGAGGCGAUCUUGUGGUUCGGCCGAGCCAACCAAACCCUAAGAAUGGCGCAGGACGAGGCGUCGAGAUCCAGGUCGAGGGCGGCGGCGGCGGCGGCGGCGGGCCGGCGAUCUCGACGCUGGGAUGGCCUCUGGGCAAUUGGGGCAUGGUGGUGUGCGGCGUCUGCCUAGGUCUUGGGCGGCUCUGUGCCCGGAGCUGUGGCCGGUGAUCGCGGCGGCGCUGCAGUGGGUGGCCGUGCAUGGGCUGCUACGUGACGUGACGGCAUCGCUGCUGUUCGAAUUGAAGUUUGGUUGUGUGUGAGUGCACCGGGAGGAGCUGGUACCCAGCGAACUAUCACUUUUGUUAAAGCAGGGAUCGAGCCUUUUGUCAAAGAAGAAAUAUAUACUCCAUUUUUCCCACUGUGGUGGGUGGUCGUCGAUUCACAGUAGGCCGACCAGUCAUGCAACAGCGCUGGUGAGUCCUGGCAUCAGGUUUCGUUGACCGUUGGCUUGCUUGUUGAUGUGGACUACAUCUCCUACCAGCAAGACGGUCGGUAACCAGGUCUUCGACAAUGGAGCUCUCCAGUAUCGCCCCCUCUCCAUAAAUUUGCAGGAGUAUGUGCCCGUUUAUCCUCUCAAUAUGUUUGAUUUAGUUAAGAAGUUUAAGUAUCUGUAUUUUAGUAAUCAUAUCCCAAGUUCCCAACAGGCAUAGGCUAGGCAUUGCAGUUUCAGUUUUGAUCUCCUCCUCCAGUUUAUUUGUUUCGCUUAUAGAUGUCCUACAAGCUUAAUACUCGAGACUAAUAUCUUUUUUCCUAGUUGGUAUGUGUUCGAGCAGGUGCCGUCCUUGUUUUUGUUCAUAGACCGUGUAAGUAUUAGUUUUCUUUUACUCGUCAAGUAGAGGCCAUGGUUGAUGGAAGAGUGCCCAACAAUGCCGCAUACCAUGUACAUCUUGCCUAAAAAGUUUCUUUUCUUCAAUAACUGAAGCUCUUUAAUUUUGAAACUGGGAAGACUUAGUUUUAUGCCCAUAAGUCUGAAUCUUUAUGGAAUUUGUGGCUUCUUUGCUAUGGUUGGUUUUUUUGUUAGUACUAGCUUGUUCUAAUGUAGACUAUUGGCUUGCAUCCCCUUCAUUACUAAUAAAAAUCCCCAUCUACAAACUAGCUUGUACGGUAUUAUUUAUUGUGUUCCUUAAAAAAAACUGUACGAAUUUUGUCAUGGAUGUAAAUUAUCAUUUGAAGAUUUUAAAUUCAAAAUCCUAGAGAUUUAUGUUUACUUCUUGUUUAGGAGGAGAAAUCAGAAGUUUAAGGUUCCGUUUGUUCUGGUAGAUUUUUUCUAAUUUGAAAAUUUACAUAAUUCUAAUAGUUUAUGUUCUCUUUGGUUUACUAAUUCAUUCAGAUUCAGAAAUUACAGUGUGCAAUACCUUUAUUUUUCUAGUCCUUUUUUAGUGUGAUGUUGUAACAUGUCAUUUUUGUACUUAUAUAUUUAUCGAAGUAAUGAAUGUAUGAUUGAUAAGUGUCUAGAGGGGGUGAUUAGACUACUAAGCACAAUAAUGGACUCUUUUCCCAAGUUUUAAUUUCUUGUCAGAGUUUAAGCUUUUCUAGCAAGCUAUAGAGCACCCUACACAUGCAAGUCUAGAGUAUAGAGCGGAAAGUAAAAGACAAGGAGGUAGAGUUGAUAGAAUCGCAAACACAAUUGGCUUGGUGAAGAUUUUUUCUGUAAUUAAGAUAGUUGGCGUUAUCUUACAUCCACGCUGAUGGAGACUUCGAUCCAUGAAGGAUAUAAGAGCACAAAGAUCUUGGUUGCGAGAUUUCACGGAGGAAUGGUCCAUUUCGGACACUCACCUAUGACGUGUCCACGAAGGAGCAACCACACCUAUUCCACCAUGACUUACGCCCACGAAGGACUAGCCUCCACUAUGGUAAAUCUUCAGGAAAUAGGCGAUCUCCGGGCCCGUACAAACUUUUGGCUUCUUCACAAACUUGAAGACUCCCAAGUACACCUAGUCGAUUUAGGAGGCGCACACCCUCUGAAAGUAGCAAGAUAGCGGUUGAUUAGACAAUGAAUCCCUUGCUUUUGUGUUUCAAAAGAUAAUCUCCUCAAUACUCAAAUUCUCAAGAUUUGGCUAUGGAUUUGAAUAGGUAGGAGUGGAAAGAAAGAGGGGACUAGAUCUCAAAGGGUUUGAUUGGAUGGUUGGAGUAGAUGUUCCUUUGAAAUCAGCACAAGGAGGUGGAGUUCUCAAAACAAAUGAUUGGAGUGGAGCUUGCUUGAGUUGAACUGGUGGGAUAUGUGGGGGUAUAUGUAGGCUGGACCAGAAAUCUGACAAUUACUACACACAUUUUUGCAAAUCUCAGAGGCUCCGACUGAUUUGCUCGGUGGCUCCGUAAUGAACAAAAGAGUCAACUUUUAGAUGCAUCAGUAGGUCCAAAUGAAAUAAAAUGGUGGCUUCGAAGUGAGUACCUCAGUGGUGGCACACUCUUUGUUUACGCUUCAGAAGUUUCGAGUGGAAUGGGUCGGAAUUUUUGACGUGGAAACAAAGUUUUCCCGGUUGCUUCAGUGGCUCCAAAUGAAAUGUUGGAAGCUCUGAUUGAACUAGGCGUUCGGAAUCCAUCUGUUUCGGUGGCUCUGAGUAGAAAUGCUUUAGCAACACCGAGUUGCAUGGAAUUAGCUACAUAUAGUUUAAAACUUUGAGGAGUUUUGGAGUUUGAUCUCUAAGCACAUGGAGCAAAAGACUCAAAUUCACAUCCUCGUCCCUUUUGAUAGUAUCGGCAUAUGUCUGGACUCAAUGUGAUCAUGGAUCACUAAAAUGAAAGGGGUAGAAUCCUUUAGCUUGUCCAAUACUUGACUUUAAGCAUUUUCAGUGGUCACUUCCAUUCCAAUGUUGUACCUAAAAGAACUUUUCCUGAAAUAUACUUUGAAGUGCCAUUAGUUCUUUGAGCUUUGUUGACAUGAAUUACCAAAAUUCACAUUGGAGAUUUUGAUCAAAUAUUCAAUAAAAUUACAAUUCAUCAUGAUAAAAACAACGCUUUCAGAAGCAUGUGGUAUACAAGAGCUCCCCCUAAAUUUGUGCAUUAUUUAAAAUUUGCUCUUGAAUGCAAAUGCACAAUUGGUUAGGUAUACGAGAAACUUUUCUAUAGCACAUGAAACUUGGUGGAGCACGUCAACAAAAAAAAUUGUGUCAAUGACCACAAAAUAUGCACCAAAAGAGUAUGUCAAUGACCACAAAAGAUGCAUUAAAGCACAAACAACUAGCAUAUCCCAAAUAAAUUGUUUGGGAGUACACUUGUAACUAGGGCAUAUCCUUUCAGUUAGAAUAAGCUAUUCUUCAUCCUGAUCGAUCGAUCGAGCAACAUCUUGCAUCCAACCAAGCCACCAUUCUGCCGAUCUAAUCGUCCUGAAAGGAUAUGCCCUAGUUGUAGGUGUGCUCUCAAACAAAUUAUAUUUUUAGCAAAACUUUGUAUAAAGCCAUGAAAGAUAGUAUCGGAGAGUAUGACCUUCCAAUUUUUCUUGGAUUUGAAACUGAAAAUCAUUGAGAACACAAUUAUUGAUGUUUCUAUGGAUAGCCUAGAUCUGUGUAUGCUUACCAUGCAUUGCUAAUGAUAGCGCAUGAAAAUUACUAGGCAUGCCAUCCAGUGUGUUGUUUGUUUGCCAAAUAGGUGUAGAAACAUUAUUAUACCCGAUAAACAUAUUUAGAAAGAAGCAUUAUACAAACAAAAGUGGAAGAUUGGCAUCAAUCAAGGAUCAUGGUGCACCUUUUAAUUGAGUAGAUUGCAGAAGAUAAAAAGGUGUUGAUUUCUCCGUCAGGUGCUUCAUAUAAUGAUCCUCUUGAACAAACCACUUUUGCUAGGGCCUUCUGACUACAUCACAAGAAAAGAGUUGCACUAACGGAGAACAUCACAAUGUUGCGCCUGGUAAAUUGGGUUAAAUUAGUUUUGAUUACAUUGGCCAUUCCACUCAUUCGCGACGCUCAAAGAAGACCAGUGCUUCUAGCCCUCUAUUCAUGGUUGUGUUGUUUCUUGUUGUGACUAUCAUAUCAUUUUUUCUUCACACUCAAGCAUCAACCUGAUUUUAUCCAUGCAUACCCUCUUGAUAUGGAGUUGCAAGUGUCUAAAUGUAUGAUCUUUUAUAGGUUUACUAUAUGGAUAAUUUGUUGCGAGAGCCUUCUACCACUCCCAUCAUUACAACAUGCAUAACUGAUUUAUGAUGCAACAAAUGUUGAAUCUCAUAGAGCAAGAUAACAAAGUGGAUAGCAAAGUUGAGACAUCUGAGGCUUUGUCGCUCAGUUGCUCAACUAUCUGAUAACAUCUUAUAACAUCUUUUAUUAUUUUUAUUUCUUCUUGUACUAAUUGCGGAGCCAACAAAGUCUACAUAUAGGUUGCAUCCCCUUCAACAGGUGUCCCUCCUCCAUUGAGUUCACCUGAUAUUCCUUCUGGAUCCUUUUAUGCUUCUUCUGCAACUUUUGUUAGCAUGCAUCAUCAUCUCGUACGAACCAACGAGAUGAUGAUGCAUGCUAACAAAAAAUGUAGGAGGAGCAAAAUGGGAUCCAAAAGGUAUAUCUAUUGAACUGGCUGGAGGAGGGACACUCAUUGAAGGGGAUGUACCACCCUCAGUGUAGCAAGUGGUGUGCUAUCUCCUAAACUAGUACAAGAAGAUGUUAUCAAAGAAAUGCGUUUGGGAAUUCAAUAGUUGAGCAAUUUACUCGCAAAACCCUGAAUGUUUCAAACCCGUCAUCCACUCUUAUCUUGCUCUAUGAGAUUCAACAUUUGCUCCCUUGUAAAAUUAGUUAUGCAUGGUGUAACGAUGGGAUUGGUUGAAGGAUCUCACAACAAAAUAUCCAGAUAUAACCUAUAAAAGAAAACACAUUAAGACACUCGUAACUCCAAUACCAAGAGGAUAUGCAUGGAUAAAAUCAGGUUGAUGCUUGAGUCUGAAGGAAAAAUUAUAUGAUACUCAUAACUAGAAACAACACACAUCCAGGAAUAGAUGGGCUAGUGGCACCGGUUUUCUUUGAGCGUCAUGAAUGAGUGGAAUAGGCAAUGUCAUCAAAAUUAAUUUAGCUCAAUUUAUCAACGCAACGUUGAUGUCCUUCGUUAGUGCAACCUCCUUUCCAGUGAUGUAGUCACAAGGCUCAAGCAAAAGUAGCUUGUUAAAGAGGAUCAUUAUGAAGUAUCUGACUUAGAAACAACACCCUUUUUUAUCUUCUGCAAUUUGUUCAAUUAAAUGUUGCACCCUGACGUAUACACAUUGAUCGAUGCCGAUCUUCUACUUUAAUUUUAUAAUGCUUCUUUUUGGAUGUGUUUACCGGUUACAACAAUCUUUGUACCCUAUUCAGUAGACCAAGAACACAAUAGAUGGUGUGCCUAGUAAAUUUUCAGAUACUUAUCAUUAGCAAUGUCCAAGGUAAGCGUACUCGGAUGUGGUCUAUCCAUGUGAAACAUCAAUAACUUUAUGUUCUCAAUGCUUCUGAGUUCCAAAUCAAAGAAAAUUCCAAGGUCAUACUCUCUGAGCUUAUCUUUCGUAGCUUUAAACAAACUUUUGCCGGCUAAUACAAUUUGUUUGGGAGCACACUUAUAAUUAGGACAUAUCCUUUUAGUAUGAUUAAUCAAGCCAUGAUGACAAAGGACAAUAACAACAAUAAUAAGGUUAACAACAGGACAUGACAAAAAUCGUUGAAAGUAUAAAUCUCUACUACUUAAAAAGUAAGUAAGGUUCCUUUUCCUGCAUAGGACUGCAUUCUACCUACCUUUUGUCCCACCUUGUUUCUAUUUUUUUCCUCCCUCGCUUGACUCCUCCAUGAGAACCCAUCCGGAUCCUUCCUCCAUCCCAAGUUGUCUGUUCCUCUCUAGCCGAUCUGACCACUUGAACCAGACCUCUAGGGUUCCAGCGCCGCCAACCCUGCCCAGCUCCCAUGACCCCUCCUUCCUCCCAGACCGAGCCCUAGCAUCAUCUCUGUGCGAUCCUUGACCCGCUGCUUCGAUCAUCUGCUGGUAUGGAUGCACGGUCACCGAGUGAUGCUGUUUGAUGUAGCUGACGGGAAUCGGACACUACGGGUUCACCAUCGCUAGAUCCCGGAGCCUUGGGGCUCGAACUGAUGGACGUGCCGUGAUGUUGUUGUUAGGAGAAGAGGAGAAGCGGACAAUGCUAAUGCAGUGGGCCGAGGCUGAGGCCCAAUCACCACCCUCUUCUCCCCGCUGACCUCAGGUCCAAGCUACCGACGUGGGAUCCAGGCCGCUGCCGCCGUCACCCUGAAAAAGCGAGGUGACUGGACGACAACGACCAAAACGAUGCCCAGAAGUGCAAGGCGGCUGGACGACAGCGACCAUGAUGAUGCAUGAUAAGGUGAGCCAGAGGAAGCUGCAUGACGAUGAGCACGGCGAUCCGUCGUCCUCGACCGCGGCUGGUUCCCUCAGACAGCGGGUGGCGGCGGAUCCAGUCAUGCUCCUCGAGCUUUCCGUCGUCGUGCUACCGAGGGCAUCUUCACCCACAUCUCCUCACGCCGGGUUGCCAGCACGUGGUGUGGUGGAUUUGGUUUUUAGAAUUUGUUUCACAGCUAUUUAACUGAAAUGAUGAGCUCCCAAUCAAGCCAGGCUCCAGGAAAAGAUAACAAGUGGUACAAGGCUGGCCAUGUGAGCCAGUAGGACUACAAGUCUACAAGGAUCUACAGUACUGACAUGGCACAGUCUACGUAAGGGGGUGCCUCAGUUUGGUCUGCCGUAGGCCUUCAUCGCUAUUUUGAAUCACAUGCUCCUUUUAGUCGGAGGUGAGGUGCUCAGAUUUGGAAAAUUGGUUACUCUUGUUUUGUUCACUUCCUAACUUGCAAUGAACAAAACAGUCUCUGCAAUAUUUUGUUUUUGUUAUCUUCAUUAUAUGAGCACAAAUAUGUCUAUCAUAAGAUAUGCUAGAGUUGACAACCGGAACUAGCCACUUAAGCAUUAACAUUGUAUAGGCAGUAUAUACAUUAAAACAAUCAAUGGCGGUGCUAAUUUCGGCUUUUUUUAUUUCUGGAGUCAAGAAAUAAACUUUAUUUAAAAUGUUUAUAUAUUCAUCUGAAUUGGAAACAAUCUUGCUGCACCAUUGAAGUUAUCUAAUGAGGGAUACUUCUUUUCUAUUUUAGCGUAUCAAUGGCCCCAGGAACUCGAGUGAGGAACACAUCAUGCCCCUUCAAACUGACAUAUCAAUAUUAUCAUCAUGUAUCGAAGAUACUAGGCACCAUAUGACUUUCUGAUAUAUGUAUAUUCUUAUGCUUAGAAGUUUCCCACUUUAAAAUUAGAUUUAACUCACCAUAUAUAAUGCACUCAAUCCAAUCGAAAAGAUCAAGUAGCAAUUUUCCCAAAACAAUUGUGUUUACACUUGUUCUCCUACUGUUUAGAGGUUGGUUUAGUUUUACCCUGUCAAAACAAAAUCAAAUAUACUUCUCCAAAACUGGUCUAGCUUAUCACAUUGCGAAGAUCCACACUGUUGCAGUUCCCUUUGUAAACAUGUACUUUCAGUGCUGGUGAUAUUUUUAUCACAUCAUGCAAUUUAGAUAAGGCCUGAAAACAGCCUCUGACAGAACUGUAGGGAAAGGCUGCGUACAAUAGACCCAAAGUGGUCGGACCCUUCCGUGGACCCUGUGCAAGUGGGAGCUACAUGCACCAGACUGCCCUUUUUUUUAUGCAAUUUAGAUAAGAAAUACAAAGAAGAAAUAACUAGGUCAUAUCAAGGGUGGUUUCACUCUAAAUAUGACUAAUCUAUACCUACUAUUAAAGGGAGGUGAUAUUCUUGGUUUGGUCCCGCUUCAAUUAAUUUCACGUACGUUAUUUGGUUUCGUUACUUGCCACCCUUUUUGUCCCAACGGAGGAAGCCCAACCAGCGGUGCACUGUGGCCCAAGUCCGGAGAACUGGCAAAAAAAUAAAAUUGCCGAUGGGAGGGUUCGAUCUCAUAACCUACCAACUGGCCAUGCACAGUUUGUCCAACUGAUCCAGCUAGAGAUAUGAGAGGAUUUUUCUUCUUCCAUUGCAACGCAUGAGCCUUUUUCUAGUAAACAAAAGUCAUUUAGAGCUUCAAAUGUAGGAAUUAUAUAUGAUCUAUUGGAUUUGUAACUUCCUAACAAUUAGAAUAGAACACUUACUCAGCAAAGCAAAUUAUGAUAUAUUGGUUCGUUUUUCAAAGCAAUCAUGACAAUAAAGUGGACGUGGAUAGAAAAACAAGGCCUACCAGGAGAAGAAAGGUGAGGAGGAAGAAAUGCACAAGAGAUUUGGUUGCACACAUAAACACUCUCGGUAGUUAGCGACUUGAAUCUUCGAGGUAUACCUGUAUGAUAAUUUAUACUCCCUCCAUUCAGAAUUACCUGUCGUUCAACAUUAUUUGCAGGAGUGUGUGCCCAUUUAUCCUCCGAACAUUAUUUUCUCAAGAAAUGAAGCUUGUGAAUUGUGAAAUUGAAAAAAGUUGGUUUUUUUACGCAUAAGUCUGAAUCUUUAUUGACUUUGUGGCUUUUUUGCUAUGGUUAUUUUUUUUUGUUACUACUAGCUACUUCUAAUGUAGACUAUUGGCUUGCAUCCCCUUCAUUACUGAUAAAAAUUCCCAUCUACAAACUAGCUUGUACUAUUAUUAAUUAUAUUCCUUUAAAUAAAUUUUUUUUUUACAAAUUUUGUCAUGGAGGUAAAUUAUCAUAUCAACUUUAGGAGGAGAAACCGGAAGUUUAAGGUUCUGUUUGUUCUUGUAGAAUUUUCUCAUUAUGAAUAUUUACAUAAUUUUACUAGUCUAUGUUCUCAUAGGUUUACUAAUUCAUUCGGAUUCGAAAAUUAUGGUUUGUAAAACCUUUGUGUUUUCUAGUCCUUUUUAGUGUAUAGAAGUAUGGUGUGUAAAACCUUUCAAAAAUUCGGAUUCAAAACACUGGGUUCAGCAUGGACAUGCAUGGAUAUGGGGAAGCUUAUGUACCUAUUUAUGUUUUUAUCAAGUAACUUCAUGCAUUAGUGUCAGUUACCAUCACUCUCACUUCAUGUAUCCUUCAGAUUCAGCUACAGAUAGAAGAGCCUUGGUAGGAAUAGGCAUACAUUAAAAUCAUGAAACUUUCUGGAGAAAAUACAGAAGCAUUCAUCAUAUAUAAUGAAGGCCUAAUAAAUAUCCAAAACGUCGCAAUAUAUGUCUCACGAUAUCUGAACCCAUCUUCGUUUCAUGUUUUUUAGCUGCAUCUUUGUUUCCUAGCAAUAUAUGAACCUAUGUUCACUUGGUAAUUGAACAAAACUGAUAUCUUGGUUAAAAAUACUACAGCGCGAGGUAGCUCUCAUUGACAAUUUAGUUUAAUUGAUACAUGCCUCAAUGAACCAUGUAACCUUCAGUAUUAACGGUACAUGCCUCAAUGAACCAUGUAACAUUUCAACCUUUCAAAAAAAAACAUGUAAUAUUUCAACGAACCACGUAACCUUCUUUCUUAAUGAUACAUUCAACCCCUAUCGUCUUCAUCUCGCGCUGAUAGCAGCAACGGCAGUGGAGCAGACAAUGGGUUCGUGCCUGCCGUCGGUGUGUAGUGAUGGGGCGGUGGCGGUUGGCGUGGUUCGUCAGGGUGCGUGUGACACCGCGUGUGACGCCGCCCUGGCUAGGUGGCAGUGGACUAGGACAGCCAGCCAGUCGUGCACCACCAGACUCCCUGCAUUCCAGUCUCGGUCGCUUAUCCAGCUAUGCUGCUGCCGCUUUUUUUGUCCAUGCCCACAUGCAACAUUCCCACAUACAGGUAUCCAAAGGUUCGAAUAGAGAAGUCUUACCUGCCACACGACGAGGUAACAUACAUUCCCACCCAUCAUGCAUGAGAGAGAUAUGGAGCUCAACUCUUUCCUCUAUCAAUCUAUAUGCUUCUCCCGGUAAAUCCUUAGAUCUUAGAAUUUUGAGCCAAUGUUCCUUAAUGUUUUCAUAGAAGCUUCCCUUUGCAUAUAUGUCUAGAUUUGAAUGGAUUACCAGGCUUUCCUUUUUUGGAACCAUCCAUUCUUUUCUUUGGAUUUAAUGGCUAAUGUUAAGUUGGCUUAGAUUUUCAGAAUCGAACUUUAUAUAGGCAUGCCUUAGCCACAUCAGAUGCUUAAUGCUCGUCCUUGCUCAGAUCAUCAGAACCAGACUCAAUGCGUAAUGCUCAAGCUUGCUUUCACUGUCAAGAAUAACGAUAUCUCCAUGGCACACUGCCUCCUACUCAAUACACCAAAAUAAAGCAUCCAACAAAUUAGCCAAUUCAAAGGACUAAAAUGCAGUGGUCAAACUCAUGAAGCAAUUCGCCUAUGACUAAAUUGCAUCAGGACAAGCUGUGCAUUGUCAAUACCUUCUUUGGACAUUUCGAAUGGCUACCUACAGGAAGGGUUUGUUUCUCGGUCAAUAUUUCCUGUAACUGGCCGGUUUCCACUUCUUUCGGCCCCUCAUGAUAAAUGAGCACUGACUAACAAAAAAAAUCAGAUUUUGAGAAUUAUUGUUGUUGUUUUAAGUGCAUGUCCCCAAAAUGAUAAAGGUCGAUCGGUAAGUGACAUUAUUGACCUCACCAUGUCUAACAAGGUUUGGUUAAGCCUCUCAGAUACUUCAUUUCUCUAUGGAGUUUCAGGAGGAGUAAGUUGUGAUACAAUUCCACAAUCACUCAGAUGUUCGCUAAACUCAUGACUCGGAUAUUCUCCUCCAUGAUCUAAUUGUAGAAAUUUUAUAUUUUUGCCACGAUGAUUCUUAACUUUGUUAUGAAAUUCUUUGAACUUUUUAAAUGUUUCAGGCUUAUGUUUCAUCAAGUAAAUGUAAUCAUGUCUACUCAAAUCACCAAUGAAGGUUAUGAAGUAUAAGUAUCCACCCUGUGCAGGUGUGUGCAUCAGACCGCAUACAUCACUAUGUAUUAUCUUCAAUAAUUCACCUGCCUAUUCACGAUGACCUGUGAAUGGCGUCUUAGUCAUUUUACCCAUCAGACAAGCCUCGCAUGUGUCAAAUGAUUCAAAAUCAAAAGAUGGUAACACUCCAUCCUUAUGAAGUUUUUGCAUAUGCUUCUUUCUGAUGUAGGUGGUAUUACCAGUCUUCUUAAAACAUUUAGAAUUAAUGUUAUAGAUACCUUUUGCCCAUUCAAGAUCCAAUAUGAACAAACCACCGACAAUAGGGACAAAUUCUUAAAACAUAUUCUUAAAAUAAAUUGAACAACCAUUGCUCUUGGACUUAUAAGAAUAACCGUUGUUUAUUAAACAUGAUCCAGAGAUAAUGUUCUUACGCAACUUCGGAAUGAAAUAAAAAUUACUAAAGUUCUAAGAUACAUCCUCAAGGUAAACUUAAGACAUGACUCCGACGUCUUGAGCAAUGAUCCCAUCACCAUUCCCGACACACGUCACAAUUUCAUUCCUUUCCAGCUUGCGAACUUUCUGUAGUUGCUGCAUCGUGUUGCAAAUGUGAGCAACCAAUCCGGUAUCAAAUACCCAUGACUUAUAGGAAUUAUUUGCUAGUAGGAUAUCGAUAACAUCAUUUUGUAUAACUUUCAUACCUUUGCCGGAAGAACUGUCUUCUUAUCUGCCAAGUACUUCUUGUAGUUGUGUUUCCCGUGUCCCUUUUGCUUGUAGUAGAUACACUCAGUCUCCUUAUUGGCUCCACCCUUGUUCCUCUUCCGGGAUACGGUCACACCAGCCCCAUUAGAUUUCUUCUUGGACUUGCCCUUCUUGAAACUGUCGGUCUUAUUGACUAACAACACUUGCUUUUUCUUCUGCAUUCCAGCUUUCGCAGUUUUGAGCAUAGCGAACAACUCGUUUGCACUUUUCUCCAUCCCAUUCAUGUUGUAAUUCAUGAUAAAACCAUCGUAAGAUGGGGGGAAUGAAGCAAGCACAAUAUCUGUACCGAGUGUUGGAGGAAUUCCAAAUUCCAGAGAAGCCAUUCUAUCAACAUAGCCAACCAGCACUAUAUGCUCACUCAUCGAGGAACCUUCUACCAUCUUGCAUUCAAUCGAGGCCUUGGUUAUCUAAAAAUGUUUGGUGCCUGCUUUUUUCUUGUACAAAGCAUCCAAUGAUCCAAUAAUAAAUUGAGUACUAGACUGUUCAAAACGUUUUUGUAGUUCAAGAUCCAUGCAAGUCAGCAUGAGGCACCGGACUGACUCAUAGUCAUCAGUACGAGCAGUAUAAGCAGCUGCAAUUUCCUGCGACGCAUUUGGCGCAGGAGGAUCACCUAGGGGUUGAUCCAGCACAUACUCUUUCUUAACACUCAUGAGAACAAAUUUUAGGUUCCGGAUCCAAUCCGCAUAGUUUCCACCGUUUGCAACCAACUUGUCUUUCUCUAACAUAGGGGCUAAGUUGAAAACAUUGUGAGCCAUUGAUCUACAAUGAUAAACACAAAAUUCACUUGGACAUUAAUCAUAUUAAUUUGCACUAGUGUUUAAACAAAUUUUAAUAUAAAGUGCAACCCCACUCAAAUAAAUAUCUCUCAUAAUUCAAAGUGAGUGAUUCAAGACCCUGAUCUUAUUCACAACCAUUGAUGUGGACAUCACCGAUAAUGUGAACUUCAAAGGGUGCAAUAAAAAAGGAUAAACAUCUCAGGCAAUUUAUAAUAGCAUGAUAUGGUAUUGCCCCUGGCGCUGUGGAUGUCUCCAUGAUCCUCCAAGGUCUUCAUGAAAGUACUCUGAAGUGCUGUCAUGGAAACCACCUUGGUCUCUUGCGCCUGGUGAAGCCUUCUUGCGCCGGUGUCCUCUGUAGCAAGUCCAUCACUCCUGUCGAUAAAAUAAAGUAACAAGGUUGACACGCAGGUCAUUAAACUGACAAUCCCUUGGCUCCAGCCAUCAUGUCAUACUGUGACACGCAAGUCACUUAACGUUACAUCAUAUAACCAUCUCAUACAUAAACUCAUUAUCAUGAUGAAGGCUAUACCACAUUACAUGCAUCCUGCAAAACCAAGUUUGACGUCCUCUAAUCGGUUUGGCAAAUUUUAAUUAUGUGGCUUCUAGGGUUUCUGGAGAACUCUAGCUACCUAUGUCUAGGGGCAGAGCUACAUGUAUUACUAGGGGCGUCGCUGCCCCGAGUAUUGCUAAUCAGUGAAGGAAAUUUUCUUGUGAAGGGUCAAAUUUAGUAGAGU
This is a long non-coding RNA of Triticum aestivum (bread wheat), 13052 nucleotides long. RefSeq lists it as uncharacterized. NCBI's taxonomy places the organism in Eukaryota, Viridiplantae, Streptophyta, Magnoliopsida, Poales, Poaceae. The record is from RefSeq and is a predicted model, not a curated record. The transcript is spliced from 7 exons.